UGGAGGCAGCAGUGGGGAAUAUUGGACAAUGGGCGCAAGCCUGAUCCAGCAAUACCGCGUGUGUGAAGAAGGCCUGAGGGUUGUAAAGCACUUUUAAUCGGGAGGAAGACCUGUAGGCUAAUACCCUGCAGUAUGACAUUACCGAUAGAAAAAGCACCGGCUAACUCCGUGCCAGCAGCCGCGGUAAUACGGAGGGUGCAAGCGUUAAUCGGAAUUACUGGGCGUAAAGCGUGCGUAGGCGGUUAUUUAAGUCAGAUGUGAAAGCCCCGGGCUUAACCUGGGAACUGCAUUUGAUACUGGGUAACUAGAGUUUAGUAGAGGAAAGUGGAAUUUCAGGUGUAGCGGUGAAAUGCGUAGAGAUCUGAAGGAACACCAGUGGCGAAGGCGACUUUCUGGACUAAAACUGGCGCUGAGGUACGAAAGCGUGGGUAGCAAACAGGAUUAGAUACCCCGGU
Molecule: ribosomal RNA, 455 nt
Filed under: uncultured bacterium
Lineage: Bacteria
Description: bacterial SSU rRNA
Rfam family: Bacterial small subunit ribosomal RNA
Source: RNAcentral